UUCUAUUAUUUACUUGAAGUCGUAAUUAAUUUUCGACUUAUAAAACGAGUUAUAAAAUAUGUAAUUUAUAGAGAGUUAUAACGAAGCUUCGUUAUAUGAGAACCCGAAAUUAGUAUUACAAAUACAGAAUAAGGAUUUUAUUCAUCACAUUCAUCUAGCACCUACACAUUUCCACAUCCAUCUUACUCUUAAAUAAAUUGAUGGUGUUGGAAACACUCAUCAUAUGCCAACCAUCCCACUAAACACUCAUCAUAUGCCAACCAUCCCACUAAACACUCAUCAUUCCACUAAACACUCAUUAUUCCACACACUCAUCAUUCCACUAAACACUCUUUACACCUUCUUUUGCCAGCCAUCUUCUACACCUUUAACAUCUCAACAUGCAAUUAGCUUUUAUUUAAUCAAAAUCUUAUCAUCAAUCCUCUGCCAUUUCAAUUAGACAAAAGCCAAGUUUUAAAAGCUAAGUUUCCUUCUAUUAGUUCAUCCGCUCUUUCCUUCUCUUUUCAACACACCCAACAAAGUUUAAAGUGCAGAGUAAUCAAGCAGAUUCAGAUCCAAAUUCAUUGUUAAAUUGUUGAUUCGCAGAUCAAACUUUGUGAGUUCAGAAAAUUAUCAAGGUCCGGGCAACAGAAAGUGAAGCAGAAGAAGAAACGACUCCACGCCAGCUUUAAGAACGAUUGAGGUUGAGCAGGCGAUGGAAUGGAUUGGUGUUGAGCGGAUUUCUCUUUUGAUGUUUAUGUAAUGAAACCUUGAGUAUGCAUCUCCAUAUGCAUAACUCACACGUUUUUCCGCUGCAAACACUCUGAAUUUGUUAUUGUAUUGUGGAACUUAUUACUCCUUCAUUUUGUUUAACUUUCAUUUGGGGUUUAGUCGUUAUGGCUGGCUCGUUUGUUAAUUACCCAAGUGGUUAUAUAUAUAUAUAUACCACUAGUUUGUUGUUAUAAAUGUUGGUUAUUUAGUA
Salvia miltiorrhiza (redroot sage) is the source of this 961-nucleotide long non-coding RNA. RefSeq lists it as uncharacterized. The record is from RefSeq and is a predicted model, not a curated record. The transcript is spliced from 4 exons. NCBI's taxonomy places the organism in Eukaryota, Viridiplantae, Streptophyta, Magnoliopsida, Lamiales, Lamiaceae.